UAGAACGAAAGGGCAAGAGAAAGCUGAAUCUGCUCACUCUUCUGGAGCUGAGACUUCUCUUGCCCUAGCACAUUAAAACUCUAGGUGUUCUGACCUUUGAACACUGGAACUUAACCCAGCAUCCCCUUACCUCCUCAGGAUCUCAGGACUUUGGACUUGAACUAAGCCAUGCUACCAGCUUCCCUGGUUCUCCAGCUUGUAUAUGGUAUAUCAUGGAAUUUCUCAGUCUCCAAUAUCGUAUCACUGAUGAUUUCUACAAUACUUUUGCAGAACAAUUAACCCUCUACUUACUGGUGACUUAGUGAGAGUUUGUGUAUUUGGAUCCCUGAAUUUUUCUGGGUAAGUCAGCCUUUAAUUUAAAUAUCUUUUUCAAUCUUUAAUGGAUUCCUUCUACCAUGAAAUAGAGGUAUCUGCUAAAAAGAGCACCUCAGUUACUCCCUCCAGCUGUGCAGGAAGGGCUCAUUUCUUGUCCAAUGGCAUAUGAUUUCUGAAAGAAUCUCUUAUUUUAUAGCAAUCACGUGCUGAAUAUCAUCAUGCCAUUACUUACACAAUUGAGAACAGACUGCUACGUGUCUUCAUAAAGACACUUUGUGAGAAUUUUAACCCUAUGAAUUCCAAAAUUGUGAGGAUUAAAAAAAAAAUUGAACAGCACUGGCUCUGGUCCCCUGGGGACAUCAAGAGUACUUAAAAAAUUAGAGUCUCUCCUCGACUACCUGGCUAUAGGUUGUUGCUGUGGCGUGAUUGCUCUUUUCUAAACCUAUAUAUUAGCAAGGCUUUAUUAAGAAAAAAACUGUUUGUUUUUUUCUUUAAAAGCAACAGAGAAAAUCACAGUAGAUAACAGAGGGCAGAACCAGGAAUUCCUUUUUUUUCUCUCUCUCUUUUCAAUUCCUUUACUUUUUUUUCUUUAAUUUAAAUGAGAUCCUGAGGAGACUACUUGUACUCACAGUCCAUUGUAUAUGUAACUCAUCCUUUUACAUGUUUACUUUGAUAUUAUUUCCAAUUCUACACCCAAAAUGUUUAUAUCUCCAAAAUAAUCAUGGGAAUCUUUCCAUUCUGAUUUU
This 1061-nucleotide long non-coding RNA is filed under the name Callithrix jacchus (white-tufted-ear marmoset). Its description in RNAcentral is "lncRNA (ENSCJAG00000074298.1)". Lineage: Eukaryota; Metazoa; Chordata; Mammalia; Primates; Cebidae. The record is from RNAcentral.